GACGAACGCUGGCGGCGUGCUUAACACAUGCAAGUCGAACGGAAAGGCCCUGCUUUUGUGGGGUGCUCGAGUGGCGAACGGGUGAGUAACACGUGAGUAACCUGCCCUUGACUUUGGGAUAACUUCAGGAAACUGGGGCUAAUACCGGAUAGGAGCUCCUGCUGCAUGGUGGGGGUUGGAAAGUUUCGGCGGUUGGGGAUGGACUCGCGGCUUAUCAGCUUGUUGGUGGGGUAGUGGCUUACCAAGGCUUUGACGGGUAGCCGGCCUGAGAGGGUGACCGGCCACAUUGGGACUGAGAUACGGCCCAGACUCCUACGGGAGGCAGCAGUGGGGAAUAUUGCACAAUGGGCGGAAGCCUGAUGCAGCAACGCCGCGUGCGGGAUGACGGCCUUCGGGUUGUAAACCGCUUUCGCCUGUGACGAAGCGUGAGUGACGGUAAUGGGUAAAGAAGCACCGGCUAACUACGUGCCAGCAGCCGCGGUGAUACGUAGGGUGCGAGCGUUGUCCGGAUUUAUUGGGCGUAAAGGGCUCGUAGGUGGUUGAUCGCGUCGGAAGUGUAAUCUUGGGGCUUAACCCUGAGCGUGCUUUCGAUACGGGUUGACUUGAGGAAGGUAGGGGAGAAUGGAAUUCCUGGUGGAGCGGUGGAAUGCGCAGAUAUCAGGAGGAACACCAGUGGCGAAGGCGGUUCUCUGGGCCUUUCCUGACGCUGAGGAGCGAGAGCGUGGGGAGCGAACAGGCUUAGAUACCCUGGUAGUCCACGCUGUAAACGGUGGGUACUAGGUGUGGGGUCCAUUCCACGGGUUCCGUGCCGUAGCUAACGCUAUAAGUACCCCGCCUGGGGAGUACGGCCGCAAGGCUAAAACUCAAAGGAAUUGACGGGGCCCCGCACAAGCGGCGGAGCAUGCGGAUUAAUUCGAUGCAACGCGUAGAACCUUACCUGGGUUUGACAUGGAUCGGGAGUGCUCAGAGAUGGGUGUGCCUCUUUUGGGGUCGGUUCACAGGUGGUGCAUGGCUGUCGUCAGCUCGUGUCGUGAGAUGUUGGGUUAAGUCCCGCAACGAGCGCAACCCUUGUUCACUGUUGCCAGCACGUUAUGGUGGGGACUCAGUGGAGACCGCCGGGGUCAACUCGGAGGAAGGUGGGGAUGACGUCAAGUCAUCAUGCCCCUUAUGUCCAGGGCUUCACGCAUGCUACAAUGGCUGGUACAGAGAGUGGCGAGCCUGUGAGGGUGAGCGAAUCUCGGAAAGCCGGUCUCAGUUCGGAUUGGGGUCUGCAACUCGACCUCAUGAAGUCGGAGUCGCUAGUAAUCGCAGAUCAGCAACGCUGCGGUGAAUACGUUCCCGGGGCU
This 1346-nucleotide ribosomal RNA is filed under the name uncultured bacterium. RNAcentral describes it as "partial 16S ribosomal RNA". It matches the Rfam family "Bacterial small subunit ribosomal RNA", at positions 28 to 1381 of the family's 1533-position model. The record is from RNAcentral.